RNAcentral lists this long non-coding RNA (298 nucleotides) under Bos taurus (domestic cattle). Its description in RNAcentral is "long non-coding RNA NONBTAT007115". The record is from RNAcentral. Lineage: Eukaryota; Metazoa; Chordata; Mammalia; Artiodactyla; Bovidae.
GGCCAUAGGGAAUAAAAGCGAAAAGCAGAAAGGGAACUUGUGUCGAGAAUUGCAAAAAGAGAUGUCAUAGAAAGAAUGUUUUAGAGGCAGUCCCAGCUUCUGAGCCCAGGCGAUCUAGUUCAAAUUGAGGUUGGCCUGAAGGCAAUCUCAUUUCUUGUCUCUGAGCGCCCCCAGUUCGGAAGACUGAGUCACCCUAGAAUCUGGCCGCUCUCGAACCCCGCGACCUGGAGUGGAGGUCCCUCUAGCGGUCAGCGUCAAUCAAAGGCGCCGGCACCCGUUCUUGUGAACAGCUAGGGAC